This 145-nucleotide unclassified non-coding RNA is filed under the name uncultured Helotiales. RNAcentral's name for it is "sequence contains ITS2". Lineage: Eukaryota; Fungi; Ascomycota; Leotiomycetes; Helotiales. The record is from RNAcentral.
CAACACUCAAGCUCUGCUUGGUAUUGGGCCCUGUCGGCAACGACUGGCCUUAAAAUCAGUGGCGGCGCCAUCUGGCUCUAAGCGUAGUAAUACUCCUCGCUACAGAGUCCCGGUGGAUGCUUGCCAGCAACCCCCAACUUUCUAA